This 253-nucleotide ribosomal RNA is filed under the name uncultured bacterium. Its description in RNAcentral is "partial 16S ribosomal RNA". It matches the Rfam family "Bacterial small subunit ribosomal RNA", at positions 524 to 776 of the family's 1533-position model. The record is from RNAcentral.
UACAGAGGGUGCGAGCGUUAAUCGGAAUUACUGGGCGUAAAGCGUGCGUAGGUGGUUUGUUAAGUCUGUUGUGAAAGCCCCGGGCUCAACCUGGGAAUGGCAAUGGAUACUGGCAAGCUAGAGUGCGGUAGAGGGUAGUGGAAUUCCCGGUGUAGCGGUGAAAUGCGUAGAGAUCGGGAGGAACACCAGUGGCGAAGGCGGGUCUCUGGACAGUUCCUGACGCUGAGGCACGAAGGUCAGGGGAGCAAACGGG